CUAGCAGUUUAGUUAUCCGUCUUUACACAUCGAGAUUCCAGUGUUUCAUUGAAACACACAACAGCAGUAAUCAUGGUGAAGUUAGCAAAGGCAGCAAAUCAAGCUCAAAAGAAAAAAGCCCCCCCACCUAAACAGGUAGAGGAAGAAGAGGACUCUAGCGAGGAGGACAGCGAAGAGGAAGAGGCUCCUCCAGCUAAGGUUA
Molecule: non-coding RNA, 202 nt
Organism: Poecilia reticulata (guppy)
Lineage: Eukaryota; Metazoa; Chordata; Actinopteri; Cyprinodontiformes; Poeciliidae
Source: RefSeq, a predicted model, not a curated record